GACAUCAUUAGUGCAAUCCUGUCACAGCCCGAUGGAGCCAUUAAGACAUUUCUCGUGAAUAUUUAGAAAAUCCCAAAAUCUCAGCACUCAGUUAUCGAUAAAUGGAUACUUUUGUUGUCAAGAAUGAUCUCACCCUUAAGAGUAGGGUCAAUGCUCCUUAUAGUUUGCCUUCCUAUAUGUACUGUAUAGAUUUAGAAAGUUUGGACCUUUCCAACUGCCGCCGUCCAGCUUUAGGGGUUUCCACAAGCUCAGAAGCCUUUCACUACAUCAAGUCGCCUUAGAAUUAGAUGAUGUUGCGACUUAUUUGUUGUGGAUGCCAAACCUUGAGGGCCUCCGUUUUAUGUCGUGCAGUGGUCUUCAUCACUUGAAAAUAUAUGCUCCAGAACUUUUGCUAUUAAGUUUCUGUACAAGUGGAAUUGACACCCUUCAGUUGGGUAAUUUCAUGGACUUUCGGAAGCUGAAAACAGUUUUACUUGAAUCACAAAACAAUCAAGAUAAAUCUUUGAACUUGACUAAUCUUUUCAGCGGCUGGCCUAAAGUUCGUCGUCUUCUUUUGGACAGUUACUACCUGAAGGUAAGUCUGUUGCUUCUGGUAUUGAAGCAGAGAGCCUCAACAGCUUGAGGGUUCUCACUCUUCAUCAAUUCAACUUUGAUGAUGAAGAUCAGAUAUCUUCCCUUCUAAGAAUGCUUAGCGGCUCUCCUAAUUUGAAUCCCUUCUAUUUUCGUUGCGCUCGAAGAAGAAAGGUGAUGUUGAAGUCAAUGUGAAUCAUUUUGAAGGACCAACCCACAGGAGACAAGGACUCAACAAGCUUAAAAGAUUCGAUAUAGAUUACUUCCAAGGUUCAAAAACUGAAUUGCUCUUUGUAAGGUUUGUACUUGCCUCUGCAACUUUACUCCUGAAGGCCACCCUUUUGGUAGAUGAAAGCGUUCAUGAAGGCCAGCACUUGGACAUCUCAAAGGAGUAGAUGGACUUCCAUCAGGCAUCUCCCAAAUUAGAAAUAAUAUGCGAACGAUAAAUUGAAUCAAGCACUGAGAUGGCCGGACCUGCUAUCUAUCUCACCCUUUAUUCUCUGCAAUAGUGACUAGUGCAGAGGGUCCUAUAUAUUUAUCUUGAGUGGAAUGUUACCUUGGAUAGUUAUACUUUUGGUCCCUCAUCCAGAAAUUUUAGUUUUGGUUCUUGGUAUUUGACUAACAUCAAUUUAUUGAAUAUGUUGUGUUUUCUAAUAGCAGUUUUGUUGUGAAAGUAUAGGAUCUUGUUAUGUAUUCCUUCUGUUUUGACAAACAAAGAGAAUUUGAAGGAUUGAAGCGCUCAGUGCAAUUGACAGACUGUAUUUGAGAGAUCUGGUGUAAUUAACUAAAUAUUAACUCUAGUACUGUGUUUUUUUACGCCAGAGGCUAGAUAUAAAAAAUGACCAGGAUUUUGUGCUUUUAGUUCCGGCUUUUUAUUAAUUAUUAUAGAGAAUCUUUUUCUUCUAUAUGUAACUUCCAGAGGGAAUGCUACAAACAACUUUGCCCCGUGACUGCUUUUCCUUCUAGUGCAGUAUAAUUGGCAUUGAUUUUUUUUUCUUUUUCGAAAAAGGUCUUUUUCAUUUGCUAUUUUUGUGUGUGUAACCGUCGACAGUGUAAAAUGAAACUUCAAAUUGGAUAUACCAAAAUCUGGUUCAGGUUCAGCUGGUAAAUCUGUCCAAUGAGGCAGCAGGGACAGAAUGAUCAGCAAUACCGGCGUCACGUUGGAAUCAGAAGCUGUGAGAGUAGCUGGUAACUGGUUACUUGAUAAUGUGACAGUUGGUACUAGCCACAACAGGAUUGUCCGUUUGUGACUGGAGGCCACUACAUCAAGUGUUCUUGUUGAGUAGUUGACAGAGCCAAAGCUGAGGGCUAGGAGCAAGAUGCAGAAGGUAGCUUGGAGUGUUUUUAGAGGUGAGUUGGGAAAAUUUAGCCAUCUUUUCUCUUGUGAAAAAUUCUAGGAUGGUAGAUGAGAACAAAUGUUGAGGAUAUAUCUAUAGUUUGAUUAUGAGGUGUUUUUGGUAUGGAGUGAAAGAUACCCUAUACUACUUUUUUGUUGGGAAAGAACACAUCCGAAAUGGUCAUUAGGUUUGGUUGAACCAAAUGUACAAGUAUUUUUGUAACUAUGUUUCCAGUUAUAGUACAUUAAGACUGAGGGGUCUAGAGCUGUAGCCAUGAAGAUGUACAAGUAUUUCGUUUGAUGAGUUAAUUAAUCGUUCAGUUAAACUAAUGAAAGUAUUUUAUACCAAUUGAGAAAUUAAUUAGCGGUUUUCAAAUGUAAACCAUAUAGAGAAUGUAUUUUAGAUGUUUAGUGUUCAAUUCACUAAGAACUGUACUGAAGCUAAUUUGAUCUCUUUUUGACAGCUUCAGCCAGAGUUUCCUCUUCUCAUAUUUCCUGGUUAAGAAAAUUGCAAGCAGCAGAAUGUAAGUUAACUAUACUUGUAAAGUUAAUAAAAUAAUGAAAUGUAGAGUUAAAUAUCUAGACACCAAAUUAACCACAAUACCAAGGCUGCUGUCAAAUUAGCUUUCUUCUUCAAAAAGAAAAAUCUUCAACAUUCUUGAAAUAAAUAAAAGCUUGAGUCACCCAUUUUUCCAACUUUUUAAGAUUUCUAAUCCUUCUUUUUGCAGUUAUUUGUUUC
Lycium ferocissimum is the source of this 2645-nucleotide long non-coding RNA. RefSeq lists it as uncharacterized. NCBI's taxonomy places the organism in Eukaryota, Viridiplantae, Streptophyta, Magnoliopsida, Solanales, Solanaceae. The transcript has 3 exons. The record is from RefSeq and is a predicted model, not a curated record.